Long non-coding RNA from Diorhabda sublineata, 368 nucleotides. RefSeq lists it as uncharacterized. Lineage: Eukaryota; Metazoa; Arthropoda; Insecta; Coleoptera; Chrysomelidae. The transcript is spliced from 3 exons. The record is from RefSeq and is a predicted model, not a curated record.
AUUUGCUUAAAAGUAACACUGUAAAUGUUGUAAUAAUGCGCUUAUGUUUUAAUCCAAGAAAAUGGGUCUUCUAGGGAAAAUGCCAUAGGCUGAACUUCUCAAAAACGCCAAAGAAAUUUUACAGGUGACGUCGAUAUUUUUGAAAUUUCCGCGAUCUCGCAAGAAUGAAAAUCGAGGUUUUUUCGUGCGCAGGUAAGUAGCAGAAGAAAUAUCCGCCAUUUUGCUCGUUCAUUGAAUUAGUGCUAAAUAAAACAUUGCAAGUUUAAAACAUAUUUUCUGGUUUGGUUUUUUGAGUCAAAAUUAAAAGGAGUACUUUCAAAAAUGCUCUCAUAUUAAUCACAAAUAACAUCAUCAUAACAGACACGGAC